Molecule: long non-coding RNA, 2447 nt
Organism: Dama dama (fallow deer)
Lineage: Eukaryota; Metazoa; Chordata; Mammalia; Artiodactyla; Cervidae
Exons: 3
Source: RefSeq, a predicted model, not a curated record
UCGGAGACUGAGGUGACCGAGGCCGGGCUGUGGAAGGCGGGCUUGGGGAUCCAGCGGGCGGGGCGAGGUCGCUCCGUGCCGCCCACGCCGGAUGCACAGCCGGCCUUCUCCGCGCCCACGUACCCACGUGAGCGCCCAGCCGGCGACAUUCUUACUCCCACUCCCCCUUCCCCUCCGAGAGGAGAGCGGAGUUUCACAACCACGCACAGGUACACAAAGGCAGCGAGCACCGCAAAGGACGGCACACGCGUCUGAACAGCUCCGCGGACGCCUGCUGCCCACGCUCCAACCUCGCGGUGCUGUGCUUGUGAACGUUAGGAGUGAGCCGGGAAAAGUUGUUGGAGACUCGGGGUGCGCGUCUCCUUUCGUGCGUCUGACUCCCAUAGAGAGUGCGCUUAAGGCAGGCUCUGGAGUGCAGGCUCAGUAGUGGUGCGCCAGCCUGCUGCUCCACGGCACGUGGGAUCUUCCCAGACCAGGCGUCAAACCCGUGGCUCCUGCACUGGCGGGAUUCAGGACUACUAAGCCACCAGAUUGGUAACAAGCUUGGGACGAGAUGGUUGGAUGGCAUCACCGACUCAAUGGACAUGAAUUGAGCAAGCUCCGGGACGUGGUGAAGGACAGGGCAGCCUGGCGUGCUGCAUGCAGUUCAUGGGGGUCACAAAGAGUUGGACACGACUGAGCAACUGAACAGCAAAGACAACAGCAAAGUUUGAGUGGCACUGCUGUAGCUAAAAUUCAUCUCUUUUAUUUAUGUGACAAGCAUAUGAAGCGCUCUGCAAGCACAGAGGAUGGCCUUGUUUGUUUUUAUUUAUUUGGCUGUGUUGGGUCUUGGUUGCAGCACUCGGGAUCUUCAUUGCAUCGUGGGGGAUCUUUCAUUCUGGGGCACGGACUCUCUAGUUGUGGCUUACGGGCUAAGCUGCUCUAUAGCAUGUAGGAUCUUAGUUCCUCAACCAGGCAUCAAACCUGCAUGCCCUGUAUUGCAAGGUGGAAUCUUAACCACUAGACCACCAGGGAAGUGCCCAAAUUUGUUUCUCUACAUCUGUAUUUAGGUGAUAUUAGGACCAUGGGCCAUAAAGUAUCACAGGAGAUACCAUGGAGCCAUAAAGCCUUAACAUGGGAGUGACAUGGUCAGAUCUGUAUUUAGGAGUGGUGUGGAGAAAAGGUUUUAUGGAUGUCAAAACUGCAGAGAGGCCAACCUGAAGGAAACACAAGUGCGCUGAGAGAGAUGGCAAGGUGCUAGACUAAACCACUGGCGCUGGAGAUGGAGAGGAAAGGACAGAUUUAAAAGAUAGUCAUCAGGGCUUCCCUGGGGGCUCAGAGGUAAAGAAUCCACCUGCCAAUGCAGGAGCCAUGGGUUCUGUCACUGACCCACGUGCUGCAGGGCAACUGGCCUUGCACUGCAGCUGUUGAGCCUGUGUUGAAGAGCCCAGGAGCCACAACUGCUGAGGCCCCAGAGCCCCGGAGCCCCUGCUCUACCAGAGAGGCCACUGCAGGAAGCCUACACACAGCAGCUAGAGCACAUCCCCUGCUCGCUGCAACGAGAGGAAAGUUCACACUGCAGUGAAGACCCAGCAUGGUGAAAAGUCAAAAAUAAAUAAUUAUUUUUCAAAAAAACCUUAAAAGAUCAUCAGGUAAUAUGAAUAGAACCUGAUGAUUGGCUAAAGGGUUGGGGAAAGAGAGGAGUUUAGAGUAACUCUCAGGCUUCUAGCUUGGGUGACUGAGUGGAUAGAAUGGAGCAUCGUCAUCAGAUAGUCACCAUCUGCAGUCUUUUUCCUAAAUUAAGAAAGUUAUGAAAACCAAAAAUUUUCAUAUCUCUUUUGACUACAAAACCUAAUCUGACUUGAACUUACUUUGUGGCGGACCUCCUAGCUUAUCAAGGCUGUAUAUUGUCAUCUUGCUUAUUUAAUUUACAUGCGGAGUACAUCAUGUGAAAUGCCGGACUGAAUGAAGCACAAACUGGAGUCAAGAUUACAGGGAGAAAUAUCAAUAACCUCAGAUAAGCAGAUGACACCACCCUUAGGGCAGAAAUCGAAGAGGAACUAAAGAGCCUCUUAAUGAAAGUGAAAGAGGAGAGUGAAAUAGUUUAUUAAUACAUAAGGUUAUUUAUAGUUUCAUUUAUGCCACUUUCAUUUAUACCAAUGUGAAUAUUCAUCUCUCAUUGCAGAAACAUUAAUUUGUUUAUGAGGUACUGUCCCAGACCCCACUGAGAUUGCUGUCUUAUUUAUUACAUAUGCACCAUAUUACAUUUCUAAAAUCCAAAAAAAUUCUGAAACACAUUUACGAUCCAGAUUUCCUGCCCCAUUUACUCAUCAGCAUUGGCCUGAGUUUUUUUUUGUUAUUUGCAUAAAUCAGAUCCACCUGCAGAUAAUGAAUAUUCAUUGAAGUGUGUGUUAUAGACUUUGAAGAUGAUUCUCAAAGUGUUUUGAGCAGUGUUCAUAUUAUUAAAA